CAAUAGCGUAUAUUUAAGUUGUUGCAGUUAAAAAGCUCGUAGUUGGAUUUCGGAUGGGACUUGCCGGUCCGUCGUUUCGAUGUGCACUGGCCAGUCCUAUCUUGUUGUCGGGGACUAGCUCCUGGGCUUCACUGUCCGGGACUAGGAGCUGACGAGGUUACUUUGAGUAAAUUAGAGUGUUCAAAGCAAGCCUACGCUCUGAAUACAUUAGCAUGGAAUAACACGAUAGGACUCUGGCUUAUCUUGUUGGUCUGUGAGACCAGAGUAAUGAUUAAGAGGGACAGUCGGGGGCAUUCGUAUUUCAUUGUCAGAGGUGAAAUUCUUGGAUUUAUGAAAGAUGAACUUCUGCGAAAGCAUUUGUCAAGGAUGUUUUCAUUAA
RNAcentral lists this ribosomal RNA (379 nucleotides) under uncultured eukaryote. Its description in RNAcentral is "partial 18S ribosomal RNA". It matches the Rfam family "Eukaryotic small subunit ribosomal RNA", at positions 592 to 976 of the family's 1831-position model. The record is from RNAcentral.